GCAAACCCACAAAAUUACAUAAGACGCCAGGGCCCAAGUGCACAGGGCUACUCCGGUAUGAAGGUUGUGCGAAUAUGCAGACACUGGCUUUGGAACGGCACCCGCGCUGUGUGCUGUGAAUGUGAUUUUUUUCCAGGACUCCUUGGAAGAGCUGAAGCUGGUGGCGAGAGGCUCGCUGUUCCAGGUGGCCGGCCUGCAAGACUGCUUCCUGCAGCAGAGCGAGCCGGUGGCCGCCAGCACAGGCGACUUUAAUCGGCAGUUCUUGGGGCAAAUGACACAACUAAACCAGCUCCUGGGAGAGGUGAAGGAUCUUCUGAGACAGCAGGUCAAGGAAACAUCAUUUUUGCGAAACACCGUAGCCGAAUGCCAGGCUUGCGGGCCUCUCAGCUUGCAGUCUCCAACCCC
Molecule: non-coding RNA, 405 nt
Organism: Miniopterus natalensis
Lineage: Eukaryota; Metazoa; Chordata; Mammalia; Chiroptera; Miniopteridae
Source: RefSeq, a predicted model, not a curated record